This 370-nucleotide ribosomal RNA is filed under the name uncultured bacterium. Its description in RNAcentral is "bacterial SSU rRNA". It matches the Rfam family "Bacterial small subunit ribosomal RNA", at positions 1045 to 1437 of the family's 1533-position model. The record is from RNAcentral.
AUGGCUGUCGUCAGCUCGUGUCGUGAGAUGUUCGGUUAAGUCCGGCAACGAGCGCAACCCACAUCCCUAGUUGCCAGCAGUUCGGCUGGGCACUCUAUGGAAACUGCCCGUGAUAAGCGGGAGGAAGGUGUGGAUGACGUCAAGUCCUCAUGGCCCUUACGGGUUGGGCUACACACGUGCUACAAUGGUGGUGACAGUGGGUUAAUCCCCAAAAGCCAUCUCAGUUCGGAUUGGGGUCUGCAACUCGACCCCAUGAAGUCGGAAUCGCUAGUAAUCGCGUAACAGCAUGACGCGGUGAAUACGUUCCCGGGCCUUGUACACACCGCCCGUGGGGCGGGGGCGGCGGGCCGGGCGCGGGGCGCGGCGGGCG